AUUGAACGCUGGCGGCAGGCCUAACACAUGCAAGUCGAGCGGAUGAAGGGAGCUUGCUCCUGGAUUCAGCGGCGGACGGGUGAGUAAUGCCUAGGAAUCUGCCUGGUAGUGGGGGAUAACGUCCGGAAACGGGCGCUAAUACCGCAUACGUCCUGAGGGAGAAAGUGGGGGAUCUUCGGACCCCACGCUAUCAGAUGAGCCUAGGUCGGAUUAGCUAGUUGGUGGGGUAAAGGCCUACCAAGGCGACGAUCCGUAACUGGUCUGAGAGGAUGAUCAGUCACACUGGAACUGAGACACGGUCCAGACUCCUACGGGAGGCAGUAGUGGGGAAUACUGGACAAUGGGCGAAAGCCUGAUCCAGCCAUGCCGCGUGUGUGAAGAAGGUCUUCGGAUUGUAAAGCACUUUAAGUUGGGAGGAAGGGCAGUAAGUUAAUACCUUGCUGUUUUGACGUUACCAACAGAAUAAGCACCGGCUAACUUCGUG
This 484-nucleotide ribosomal RNA is filed under the name uncultured bacterium. RNAcentral describes it as "partial 16S ribosomal RNA". It matches the Rfam family "Bacterial small subunit ribosomal RNA", at positions 30 to 507 of the family's 1533-position model. The record is from RNAcentral.